This 510-nucleotide ribosomal RNA is filed under the name Feltiella acarisuga. RNAcentral describes it as "partial large subunit ribosomal RNA". The stretch from base 1 to 155 matches the Rfam family "Archaeal large subunit ribosomal RNA", at positions 1889 to 2084 of the family's 2987-position model. The record is from RNAcentral. Lineage: Eukaryota; Metazoa; Arthropoda; Insecta; Diptera; Cecidomyiidae.
CGCCUGUUUAUUAAAAACAUGGUUUUUAAUAUUUAUAUUAAAAAUUUAACCUGCCCAUUGAAUUAUUUAAUUUAAAAGGCCGCAGUAUUUUGACUGUGCUAAGGUAGCAUAAUCAAUAGGUUUUUAAUUGAAAUCUAGAAUGAAUGGUUUAAUGAAAUAUAAUCUUUUUUAUUUUUAAUAAUUGAAAUUUAAAUUUUAGUUAAAAUGCUAAUUUAUUUAAAUGGGACGAGAAGACCCUAUAGAAUUUUAUAAUUUUAUUAAUAGAAUUAUAAUUUUAAGUUUUAUUUUUAUUAUUAAUUUAUUUUAUUGGGGAGAUUUUUAUAUUUAAUUAACUUUAAUUAAUUAUAUUCAUUUAUUAAUGUUUUUAUGAUCUUUUAUUAUUGAUUAAUAAAUUAAAUUACCUUAGGGAUAACAGCAUAAUGAUUUUAAAAAGUUCUUAUUUUUAAAAUAGUUUAUGACCUCGAUGUUGGAUUAAAAUUAUUAUUAUAUGAAGAAAUAUAAAUAAAUAAG